GACCUUUUGUAGUUCAUAAGCAUUAUGCUUGGCUGUCCAGGGCAUUGUGUGACAUGUGACCCCCUCAAACCUUGCUCAAACCUGGGCACAAUCUUCCUUUUAAUG
Mustela putorius furo (domestic ferret) is the source of this 105-nucleotide non-coding RNA. The record is from Rfam. Lineage: Eukaryota; Metazoa; Chordata; Mammalia; Carnivora; Mustelidae.